UUAACAGGGAUAAAACAGAAACUCCCUAUAUGCCAGCCUACAAAUCCAUUGGUUAUCCUUUCCCUUUUUAUUGGUCAGUUUUCUUGCUAAGCCUUUGAAUAUUACAAGCUGUAAGUCAACAAUAGCACUUCAUCCAGAGCCAAAAUACCUCCCAAGGGAACCUAUAGCAACACUGACAGGGUAUCAACCUUUAGGGCCCAAUCCACACAACCUGGAUUAAUUUAGUUAUCCUUCCUCUUACUGAAAUGAUUUAAAUAGUUCUGUCACAUCCUUAUCAACCUGCUACCUUAUCUGACCAGUGUCCUUUCUUCAAGGCCCCAUUCAAGUCUAGUCCCCUUUCUCCUCAGCCCAGCCCUAGGUGACCCAGCCAGGCCUCAUUCUCUCUACAACUCGUUUGGCACAUGCCAUUUUUAGAGAAAGAAGUUGGACUGCCUCCUUCUCCUCUCUAGCUCCAACCAUUUUAGAACCAGAAAUUUUAGCCAUAUCUUUACAGUCUUCAGAAUAGGUUAGAAAGCAAAUAAAGAUAGAAAUGAGGACUUUUCUAAUCAUAAAACAGAAUAUUUGAAAGCACUUUACGUUCCCCAAUUGAUGACAGAGUUGAAGUUGGUUUAAACCACAAGACACUGUGGCCUCUCUUAACAGUGUUACAAGCAUUUUGUUUUAAGCUCUUGCACCAUCUGAUCAUGUUCACACUCCCCGGCACUGCAGUGAGGACACUCCACAUUUAGAAUCUAGAAUCCAGCAUCAUGUCUCCUGUAUAAGCAUUUUCCAAUUUAUUAAUACUACAUUCUAAGGUAAAUAUACAACCCAGAAGAAUUAAAUUUAGAAGGUGCUUGGACCUCCUGAAUCACAGGUAACAAGAAUGGCAAUGGACAUUACUUCAAACUAUUUGUAUUUACUCUCCAAAAUGUUCUGUUGAAACAGGUGACGAAAUGGAAACUCAAGGCACUACCCCAUGAUCUCCCAGACUGAUCACAGCAAAGUAGGAAGAAGAGCCCACAGCUCUGUGCCCUGGUUACUGGCCAGAACAGCCCCAGCAACAAGUCAAAGUCCUCAUGUUUGCAGAGCCCUAGUCACCGUUACUGAUCUUCUCCCGCCAUGGAGUGGCUCAACCUCCUCAGGAGUUCUCAGGCUUUUCUCCCUGAAGUUUGUACGUUGAUGUCAGUUUCAACACUCUUGCAAUCAAAUGUCUGUGCGGGAGGGUAUCACACAACCAAGAAAAUAAUGGAAUCCCAGCCAUGACUUUGAUUCAAAUGGAGAGCUUGCAUGAAGUAAAGCCUAUUUUUUUGUAUGUAAGAAGACAAAAAAUGUGUAACUAAAGUAAAGAUACACUGAUACGUAUGAUACCAGAGAGAAAAAUAAAGGAUUUUUUU
Panthera uncia (snow leopard) is the source of this 1373-nucleotide long non-coding RNA. RefSeq lists it as uncharacterized. Lineage: Eukaryota; Metazoa; Chordata; Mammalia; Carnivora; Felidae. The record is from RefSeq and is a predicted model, not a curated record. The transcript is spliced from 2 exons.